Molecule: unclassified non-coding RNA, 215 nt
Filed under: Clostridioides difficile
Lineage: Bacteria; Bacillati; Bacillota; Clostridia; Peptostreptococcales; Peptostreptococcaceae
Description: 16S-23S ribosomal RNA intergenic spacer (ISR)
Source: RNAcentral
ACCUACUGUUUAAUUUUGAGGGUUCGUUUUUACGAAUACUCAAAAUUAGCACUUUAAGCAACGGGAUUUAUCCGUUGGCGCCGUGCUUUAGCACUUUGAAAACUGCAUAUAUAUUUAGUGAUAUGACAUCUAAUUUGUAAUAUAUAAAGCUGAUAACUUUUUAAAAUUAUCGAAGUUGAUAGCUUCUAAUCUAUCAAACCUUUUUAACUGGUCAA